GACGAACGCUGGCGGCGUGCCUAAUACAUGCAAGUCGAGCGGAUGACGGAGGAGCCUGCUCCUCCUGAUUCAGCGGCGGACGGGUGAGUAACACGUGGGCAACCUGCCCUGUAGAUUGGGAUAACUUCGGGAAACCGGGGCUAAUACCGAAUAAUCCUUCGGACCUCAUGGUCCGAUGUUGAAAGACGGUUUCGGCUGUCACUACAGGAUGGGCCCGCGGCGCAUUAGCUAGUUGGUGAGGUAACGGCUCACCAAGGCCACGAUGCGUAGCCGGCCUGAGAGGGUGACCGGCCACACUGGGACUGAGACACGGCCCAGACUCCUACGGGAGGCAGCAGUAGGGAAUCUUCCACAAUGGACGAAAGUCUGAUGGAGCAACGCCGCGUGAGUGAAGAAGGUUCUCGGAUCGUAAAACUCUGUUGUGAGGGAAGAACAAGUACCGGAGUAACUGCCGGUGCCUUGACGGUACCUCAUUAGAAAGCCACGGCUAACUACGUGCCAGCAGCCGCCGUAA
This 514-nucleotide ribosomal RNA is filed under the name uncultured bacterium. RNAcentral describes it as "partial 16S ribosomal RNA". It matches the Rfam family "Bacterial small subunit ribosomal RNA", at positions 28 to 523 of the family's 1533-position model. The record is from RNAcentral.